GUAGGUGGCAAGCGUUGUCCGGAAUUAUUGGGCGUAAAGCGCGCGCAGGCGGUCCUUUAAGUCUGAUGUGAAAGCCCACGGCUCAACCGUGGAGGGUCAUUGGAAACUGGGGGACUUGAGUACAGAAGAGGAAAGCGGAAUUCCAAGUGUAGCGGUGAAAUGCGUAGAGAUUUGGAGGAACACCAGUGGCGAAGGCGGCUUUCUGGUCUGUAACUGACGCUGAGGCGCGAAAGCGUGGGGAGCAAACAGGGAUUAGAUACCCUGGUGGUCCACGCCGUAAACGAUGAGUGCUAAGUGUUAGGGGGUUCCCCGCCCCUUAGUGCUGCAGCUAACGCAUUAAGCGCUCCGCCUGGGGAGUACGGCCGCAAGGCUG
Molecule: ribosomal RNA, 373 nt
Filed under: uncultured organism
Description: partial 16S ribosomal RNA
Rfam family: Bacterial small subunit ribosomal RNA
Source: RNAcentral